This 923-nucleotide ribosomal RNA is filed under the name uncultured euryarchaeote. Its description in RNAcentral is "bacterial SSU rRNA". It matches the Rfam family "Archaeal small subunit ribosomal RNA", at positions 1 to 924 of the family's 1478-position model. Lineage: Archaea; Methanobacteriati; Methanobacteriota. The record is from RNAcentral.
AUUUUCCGGUUGAUCCUGCCGGAGGUCAUUGCUAUUGGAGUCCGAUUUAGCCAUGCUAGUUGUACGAGUUUAGACUCGUAGCAGAUAGCUCAGUAACACGUGGCCAAACUACCCUAUCGAGCACGAUACCCUCGGGAAACUGAGGCUAAUAGUGCAUACGGCUCGCUGCCUGGAGUGGCACGAGCCCGAAAUGCUCAGGCGCGAUAGGAUGUGGCUGCGGCCGAUUAGGUAGACGGUGGGGUAACGGCCCACCGUGCCAGUAAUUGGUACGGGUUGUGAGAGCAAGAGCCCGGAGACGGUAUCUGAGACAAGAUACCGGGCCCUACGGGGCGCAGCAGGCGCGAAACCUUUACACUGCACGAGAGUGCGAUAAGGGGACUCCAAGUGCGAGGGCAUAUAGUCCUCGCUUUUUCCGACCGUAGGAUGGUCGGCGAAUAAGUGCUGGGCAAGACCGGUGCCAGCCGCCGCGGUAAUACCGGCAGCACAAGUGAUGACCGCUAUUAUUGGGCCUAAAGCGUCCGUAGCUGGCCACGCAAGUCCAUCGGGAAAUCUCUCCGCUCAACGGAGAGGCGUCCGGUGGAAACUGUGUGGCUUGGGACCGGAAGAUCCAGAGGGUACGUCUGGGGUAGGAGUGAAAUCCCGUAAUCCGAGACGGACCACCGGUGGCGAAAGCGCUCUGGAAAGACGGAUCCGACGGUGAGGGACGAAAGCUCGGGUCACGAACCGGAUUAGAUACCCGGGUAGUCCGAGCUGUAAACGAUGUCUGCUAGGUGUGACACAGGCUACGAGCCUGUGUUGUGCCGUAGGGAAGCCGUGAAGCAGACCGCCUGGGAAGUACGUCCGCAAGGAUGAAACUUAAAGGAAUUGGCGGGGGAGCACCACAAGGGUGAAGCCUGCGGUUCAAUUGGAGUCAACGCCGGAAU